RNAcentral lists this long non-coding RNA (250 nucleotides) under Lathyrus oleraceus (garden pea). RNAcentral describes it as "Pisum sativum (pea) long non-coding RNA (PSAT_LNC004988)". The record is from RNAcentral. Lineage: Eukaryota; Viridiplantae; Streptophyta; Magnoliopsida; Fabales; Fabaceae.
UGCAAUACUAAUCGUAGUUUUCAUGUAUUUUGAAUUUGAUUAUGAAAAUGCCGCUUGAAGUUGGAUCAAGGGUUUUUUAUUUGAUUAUGAAAUUGGGUAGUGCAACAGGUAUGUGUAAGACCCCAAUUUUGACCCUAAGAUCCCUCAUGGCAUCAUAACAUUGCAUUUGCAUAGCCUCAAGGAUCAUGAGCAUCUUGGUUCCCUUUGCCAUUGGGUGGGACUCCUUGUGAUUGGUUUGAGAUCACCAAGC